This 460-nucleotide ribosomal RNA is filed under the name uncultured bacterium. RNAcentral describes it as "partial 16S ribosomal RNA". It matches the Rfam family "Bacterial small subunit ribosomal RNA", at positions 338 to 795 of the family's 1533-position model. The record is from RNAcentral.
CCUACGGGGGACUGCAGUGAGGAAUAUUGGUCAAUGGACGAGAGUCUGAACCAGCCAAGUAGCGUGAAGGAUGACUGCCCUAUGGGUUGUAAACUUCUUUUAUAUGGGAAUAAAACGUUCCACGUGUGGGAUUUUGUAUGUACCAUAUGAAUAAGGAUCGGCUAACUCCGUGCCAGCAGCCGCGGUAAUACGGAGGAUCCGAGCGUUAUCCGGAUUUAUUGGGUUUAAAGGGAGCGUAGGUGGAUUGUUAAGUCAGUUGUGAAAGUUUGCGGCUCAACCGUAAAAUUGCAGUUGAAACUGGCAGUCUUGAGUACAGUAGAGGUGGGCGGAAUUCGUGGUGUAGCGGUGAAAUGCUUAGAUAUCACGAAGAACUCCGAUUGCGAAGGCAGUUCACUGGACUGCAACUGACACUGAGGCUCGAAAGUGUGGGUAUCAAACAGGAUUAGAUACCCGUGUAGUC